AGAGAAAACAAAAAUAAAAGUAAAAAGCAAUGCUCCCUGGACUUGUAGAGGAGGGAGAAUCAGAGAACAGAAGAAAAGAAUUACCCUUAAGGGAAGAUUUUUGGUGACAGGACAGCAUCAGAGACAAGAUCAAAACUAAAAGCUUUGAAAUCCAGGCUUCUGAGUGCUGAUGACAUCAUGAUUAAAGAAAAAAAAAAAAGUGGGGGAUCGGGGAAGUGGAUACUAAGAGAAGAA
This is a long non-coding RNA of Sciurus carolinensis (gray squirrel), 234 nucleotides long. RefSeq lists it as uncharacterized. The record is from RefSeq and is a predicted model, not a curated record. NCBI's taxonomy places the organism in Eukaryota, Metazoa, Chordata, Mammalia, Rodentia, Sciuridae. The transcript is spliced from 2 exons.